RNAcentral lists this ribosomal RNA (396 nucleotides) under uncultured bacterium. RNAcentral's name for it is "bacterial SSU rRNA". It matches the Rfam family "Bacterial small subunit ribosomal RNA", at positions 30 to 429 of the family's 1533-position model. The record is from RNAcentral.
AUUGAACGCUGGCGGCAUGCCUUACACAUGCAAGUCGAACGGCAGCACGGGAGCAAUCCUGGUGGCGAGUGGCGAACGGGUGAGUAAUAUAUCGGAACGUGCCCAGUCGUGGGGAUAACGUAGCGAAAGCUACGCUAAUACCGCAUACGAUCUAUGGAUGAAAGCGGGGGAUCGCAAGACCUCGCGCGAUUGGAGCGGCCGAUAUCAGAUUAGGUAGUUGGUGAGGUAAAGGCUCACCAAGCCGACGAUCUGUAGCUGGUCUGAGAGGACGACCAGCCACACUGGGACUGAGACACGGCCCAGACUCCUACGGGAGGCAGCAGUGGGGAAUUUUUGGACAAUGGCGCAAGCCUGAUCCAGCAAUGCCGCGUGCAGGAUGAAAGGCCUCGGUGUAAC